UUAUCAAGCAUGAUACGGAAUAUGAAUGAUGUGAUUUGGAAAUUGAAAAAUAUGUCAUUAAACAUAGAAGAAACUUUGAAUAGAGUGAACAUUAAAGAAAGUCAUCGCUGUAGGUUACGUGUUAUUAGCCCUCUACGAAGGAUUGGCGGAAAAGUCAACAAAAAGAUUCGAUUCAUUCAUCAGACGUAUGCUAAUUUAACCUUUGUACAUGAUGUUUUCAAAAUUGUGUCAAAAACUCUGGAAAAAGAUACACGUAUUAAUUUAUCUUCACUUUUACAACCUGCUAUGUGUAUACUACA
This is a long non-coding RNA of Saccostrea echinata, 299 nucleotides long. RefSeq lists it as uncharacterized. Lineage: Eukaryota; Metazoa; Mollusca; Bivalvia; Ostreida; Ostreidae. The record is from RefSeq and is a predicted model, not a curated record. The transcript has 3 exons.